Molecule: ribosomal RNA, 468 nt
Filed under: uncultured bacterium
Lineage: Bacteria
Description: partial 16S ribosomal RNA
Rfam family: Bacterial small subunit ribosomal RNA
Source: RNAcentral
GACGAACGCUGGCGGCGUGCUUAACACAUGCAAGUCGAACGGAAAGGCCCUGCUUUUGUGGUGUGCUCGAGUGGCGAACGGGUGAGUAACACGUGAGUAACCUGCCCUUGACUUUGGGAUAACUUCAGGAAACUGGGGCUAAUACCGGAUAGGAGCUCCUGCUGCAUGGUGGGGGUUGGAAAGUUUCGGCGGUUGGGGAUGGACUGGCGGCUUAUCAGCUUGUUGGUGGGGUAGUGGCUUACCAAGGCUUUGACGGGUAGCCGGCCUGAGAGGGUGACCGGCCACAAUGGGACUGAGAGACGGCGCAGACUCCUACGGGAGGCAGCAGUGGGGAAUAUUGCACAAUGGGCGGGAGCCGGAUGCAGCAACGCCGCGUGCGGGAUGACGGCCUGCGGGUUGUAAACCGCUUUCGCCUGUGACGAAGCGUGAGUGACGGUAAUGGGUAAAGAAGCACCGGCUAACUACGUG